CUUUCUCUUUUCACUUUAUCACAAGCUCGGGUACCACACAUCUCCUCUCGGCGUAGCUUUCUCUGUUUCUCUUUCAUUUUGAUCCUCAUUUUCGUCAUGAUUCAGAAUCGAUCUUCUGCCCUCAAGAUUGUACUAAGAAAAUGGAACACAGAUUUACCAUCGGCUCAAUCAUAUCACUGACCAAAGGCUGCAAUAGGAUGACCAAAAGCGAGUCCUACCAAUUCCUCCAACAUAGCUACAGAGAAUUGAAGAGAGUACUGCCCAACAUGUGAAUGAGUGGAAAUUACUUCCAGCUGUGGCUUUGUGUUGUUUAGUGCGAUGACAUGCUGUCUAAACUCGCAUAUUGUCACGACCCAAUAUGCGGUUCGUGCGGGCACCUAUCUUAUCUCAUCUCACCUGGUAGGCGAACCCUUACCAACCAACCCAUUAUUUAAAUCAUUUGACAACUUAAUAACUGCUGAAAAUGAACAAUGAGUAUGAAAACAUAAAUGACGCUCUUUACAAAUUUCAAAAGUCACACUUUCCCAAGACCUAGUCUAGACAUGUACAAGAGCUUUUACAAUCACAGAGGAAUAAAACUCAAAUAAAGUGACACAACUUCUACCUUGGAAUGAGAUACACAGAAGUUGUAGGAAGAUAUCUGCCACUGCAGCUAACGAAACCUUAAAGUAAUAACCUGAAACACAUCUAUACUCCCAAAAGGAAUGUAGCAAGAAUAGUAUCAGUACAACACACGUACUGGUAAGCAUCAUAGGUCGACUAAGGUUAGUUCACGUAAUAUUAUAUAGAAUCAAUCAAGAUAAAUAGAUAACUACAUUCAUAACACCUUUAUAAAUCCUACUCAAGGUAACAGUUCUGUCAUAAGCUCACUCGGAUUCCUCUACAACUAACACAUCAAAGUAACAACGGAAAAUAAGGACUAACAGGCAACAAUCGGUUUCGACACUCAAGAAAGACUCCUAGACCACUUAAUCCUCAAUAAUAACUAAGUCAGGACAAUAACCUUCAUGCCAACCCAUUCAAAUUGAAAUCACCAAACCUUACCUUGCUUCCAACGAUCUGACGGACUCAUAAUUUGACAGACAUACUCAACAGCAUAACAUCUCAAAAUAGACAUCAGUCCAUAAUCAUUUAUCAAAUACGCAAUAAGAGUAAGCACAAGCAAUGCGACUGACGAUAAUAUAUCUCCCGUACGUUCCAACCUUAACCAUUCUAAGUGGGAUCACUUCGACAUAACUUCUCUUCAUUCAUCAAACAAGACCAAGAAAUCACGUGUAAACAUAACAGCUCAACAACAAGAAAAAUCAACUAUGAAAUCACCAGAAUGAGUCAUGAUUCAAUGUAAUGCAGCCAAGACGAGUGUGACCUCUAUCACAAGAAUAUAAGUAAGUAAAAUGUAAUGCAACCCGAGUUACUAU
This is a long non-coding RNA of Lycium ferocissimum, 1418 nucleotides long. RefSeq lists it as uncharacterized. Lineage: Eukaryota; Viridiplantae; Streptophyta; Magnoliopsida; Solanales; Solanaceae. The record is from RefSeq and is a predicted model, not a curated record. The transcript is spliced from 4 exons.